This 468-nucleotide ribosomal RNA is filed under the name uncultured bacterium. RNAcentral's name for it is "partial 16S ribosomal RNA". It matches the Rfam family "Bacterial small subunit ribosomal RNA", at positions 28 to 507 of the family's 1533-position model. The record is from RNAcentral.
GACGAACGCUGGCGGCGUGCUUAACACAUGCAAGUCGAACGGAAAGGCCCUGCUUUUGUGGGGUGCUCGAUUGGCGAACGGGUGAGUAACACGUGAGUAACCUGCCCUUGACUUUGGGAUAACUUCAGGAAACUGGGGCUAAUACCGGAUAGGAGCUCCUGCUGCAUGGUGGGGGUUGGAAAGUUUCGGCGGUUGGGGAUGGACUCGCGGCUUAUCAGCUUGUUGGUGGGGUAGUGGCUUACCAAGGCUUUGACGGGUAGCCGGCCUGAGAGGGUGACCGGCCACAUUGGGACUGAGAUACGGCCCAGACUCCUACGGGAGGCAGCAGUGGGGAAUAUUGCACAAUAGGCGGAAGCCUGAUGCAGCAACGCCGCGUGCGGGAUGACGGCCUUCGGGUUGUAAACCGCUUUCGCCUGUGACGAAGCGUGAGUGACGGUAAUGGGUAAAGAAGCACCGGCUAACUACGUG